This is a regulatory RNA element of Gemmobacter megaterium, 59 nucleotides long. It matches the Rfam family "terC RNA". NCBI's taxonomy places the organism in Bacteria, Pseudomonadati, Pseudomonadota, Alphaproteobacteria, Rhodobacterales, Paracoccaceae. The record is from Rfam.
UUCGGUGACCGGGCCCCUCUGGCGGAAGUGGCGGUGCUUUCGUGAUGUCGGCACCGCAA